AACUUAUUCAGAGCAAGUGGAGGGAUUUGGCCCUAUGAAGCUUCAGCAACCUACCUUUGGCAAGGUGCUAAUUCCAACUCGAAAGAGAUAGAUGAGUC
This is a non-coding RNA of Aerococcus viridans, 98 nucleotides long. NCBI's taxonomy places the organism in Bacteria, Bacillati, Bacillota, Bacilli, Lactobacillales, Aerococcaceae. The record is from Rfam.